Molecule: ribosomal RNA, 974 nt
Filed under: Brachycladium goliath
Lineage: Eukaryota; Metazoa; Platyhelminthes; Trematoda; Plagiorchiida; Brachycladiidae
Description: 16S ribosomal RNA
Rfam family: Bacterial large subunit ribosomal RNA (bases 622-974)
Source: RNAcentral
GGUUUUGAGGCUGUGUUUGGAUGUGUUGGCGAUGGGGUUGUUGUACCUUUUGCAUCAUGAUUCUCUGAUGGGGUGGUUGGCUAGGGCUGGCUGUCCGAAGAAUAGUGAUUUGGGCGGGGCUUGUUAAGGGCUGAGGGGUGUUCAGGUAGGUCUCUUUAGAGUUUUGUUCAGAGGUGAUAAAUAUGACGUACUGUUGAAUAUCUGGUUCUCGGGGGAGUUUUCGAUUUAUUCCGGUUGCUUGGAUGUGACUGGGGGGUUAAUAGGUUCGUUUUGUGUCUUAGUUUUGGAGGUUAGAGGUACCUUUAGGUUGGGAGUGUGUUAAAAAUAGUUAGUAACAGCGUUGUUCCUUUGUUUGAAGCCCUGGGUUUGGAAUUUUUUUGGUCAGUAUGGAGGAAUAAGUAGUUGAAUAGUUUCUUUUUUUCUCGAGCCUUGUCAGUCUGUUUAUUAAAAACAUUUCCAUCGUUUAAAUUUUGAUGGUAGUGCCUGCCCCAUGCUUUGGUAAAUGGCCGCAGUAUUUUGACUGUGCUAAGGUAGCAUAAUUAAUUGCCUUAUAAUUGAAGGAUUGUUUGAAUGGUUUGACUAGAUAGGGGUUUUAGAUGGGGAUUGUUCAUGAAAUUGGGUUGCCGGUGCAGAUCCCGGUGCGGGUGAGUAAGACGGAAAGACCCCGAGAGCUUUAUAGAUCUUAUUUACUUGGGGCAAGGGCAUAUUCUUCAUAUGUUUUUGGAUCCCUAUGGAGUGGAGGGUUAAGUUACCUCGGGGAUAACUAGGUAAGAAGUAAGGAGAGAUCAUAUCGAUUUAUUUGUUUGCCAUCUCGAUGUUGACUUGGGGUUAGCGGGGGGGUGUAGGAGUUCCUUCGUUUGGUCUGUUCGACCUUGGAGCCUCUCAUGAGUUGAGUUAAGACCGGCGUGAGCCAGGUCGGUUCUUAUCUAUUGGUGUUGCGGGCUAGUACGAGAGGAGUGUCUGUAGUUUAGGUU